Molecule: ribosomal RNA, 252 nt
Filed under: uncultured bacterium
Lineage: Bacteria
Description: partial 16S ribosomal RNA
Rfam family: Bacterial small subunit ribosomal RNA
Source: RNAcentral
UACGAAGGGGGCUAGCGUUGCUCGGAAUGACUGGGCGUAAAGGGCGCGUAGGCGGUUUGUACAGUCAGGUGUGAAAUCCCCCGGGCUCAACCUGGGAACUGCGUUGGAAACUACGAGGCUGGAGUACGGCAGAGGGGGUGGAAUUCCACGUGUAGCAGUGAAAUGCGUAGAUAUGUGGAGGAACACCGAUGGCGAAGGCAGCCCCCUGGGCUAGUACUGACGCUCAUGCACGAAAGCGUGGGGAGCAACAGG